UUGGGAAUAUUGGACAAUGGAGGAAACUCUGAUCCAGUGACGCCGCGUGAAGGAAGAAGGUCUUCGGAUUGUAAACUUAUUUUGUCUGGGAAGAAACAAAUGACUGUACCAGAUGAAUAAGCACCGGCUAACUACGUGCCAGCAGCCGCGGUAAUACGUAGGGUGCAAGCGUUAUCCGGAUUUACUGGGUGUAAAGGGCGAGUAGACGGUGAUGCAAGUCAGAUGUGAAAUGCUAGGGCUCAACCUUAGAACUGCAUCUGAAACUGCAUUACUAGAGUGCAGGAGAGGUAAGCGGAAUUCCUAGUGUAGCGGUGAAAUGCGUAGAUAUUAGGAAGAACACCAGUGGCGAAGGCGGCUUACUGGACUGUAACUGACGUUGAGGAGCGAAAGUGUGGGGAGCAAACAGG
Molecule: ribosomal RNA, 407 nt
Filed under: uncultured bacterium
Lineage: Bacteria
Description: bacterial SSU rRNA
Rfam family: Bacterial small subunit ribosomal RNA
Source: RNAcentral